Stegostoma tigrinum is the source of this 1084-nucleotide long non-coding RNA. RefSeq lists it as uncharacterized. The transcript is spliced from 4 exons. The record is from RefSeq and is a predicted model, not a curated record. NCBI's taxonomy places the organism in Eukaryota, Metazoa, Chordata, Chondrichthyes, Orectolobiformes, Stegostomatidae.
AAUUUCAGCUGUAUUUUAUUUUAUUACUUCUCAGAAUGAGGGGAUCAGUGGAAAGGCCAGCGUUUGUUGUCCAUCCCGAGUACAGGUGAACAAUUCGGCAUAAUUUGCAAGAAUAGCUGGGUCGGCAGCUGUGGAUCAACCACAAUAGUCAAAUAGAGACCAGAUGAGAUUCAAAAUCUCAGCCUGCCAUGGUUGGAUUUAAGUUCAAGUCCUCUGAAGUAUGCACACAAACGGAAUGAGGUAAUGCAGCUACCAUGACACCAACCAAUGAGUUGAGAGAUCGAUAUUGACUGCGCAGAAUGCUUAUCUACUUGGGUAGAAACACUGCUGCAAUAAACUGAUGACUUGCAGAUGGAAGUUGCAAGUAUAUUACUUAUGGCCUUCCUCAUGAAUAUCUCUCAAGGAUCGAGAGUAGGGCCAUACAGACAAGAUAACUUCCAACAACAAAGUCCUGCUGCUUCCUUCCCUGUUAAUGUGGAUACACAAGUCGCUACGCAAAUCCAUUCUUCUGAAACAAAUCAGUUUUAGCAACAAAAGGAACAAUUCCAUUGUCAUGAUUGUGGAAGAUUAAAUUCACCUUGAAAAAAGCCAUUACAAAAACAAGAGAACAGCAGUGUGCAUCAGGUGUAACAGCAACUCCAUUUGGAUGGCACUGGCUUCCAGUGGAGCUGCUGUUACUUUCGAUGGGCACUAACAUAUCAAGGAUCCCUUUCCUACUGAAGCCACGCUGUUUCUACAAAUUAACUGACCCGGUAUUGUUGUUGAUUUUCCAUAAUGUUAUGGUGUACAGGACUAUGACCUAUGAAUUGACAGCCAGUGCAAUUAUAGAUUUGCCUGUCAGUUCUAUAGGCCACUAUCCUGUUCGCUACAUAUUAUACAAAGGUUCAAUCCACACUUUGGGAACACAAUUUACGUCUGUAUUUUCUAAACUUUAAUGAAGUAAUGAUCUGAAUUUAUUCCACAGUAACUAUUCAAAUGAACUUCUGUUCUUUUGCAUGUUAAAAAAAAACAUGUUUGUAAUUAUUAUUCCAAAUACCUUACAACUUGUUAUCACAAAUAAGUAUCCACAGUAAUAAAACAUAAA